RNAcentral lists this ribosomal RNA (431 nucleotides) under uncultured Anaerolineaceae bacterium. Its description in RNAcentral is "bacterial SSU rRNA". It matches the Rfam family "Bacterial small subunit ribosomal RNA", at positions 936 to 1382 of the family's 1533-position model. The record is from RNAcentral. Lineage: Bacteria; Bacillati; Chloroflexota; Anaerolineae; Anaerolineales; Anaerolineaceae.
AGCAUGUGGUUUAAUUCGACGCAACGCGAAGAACCUUACCUGGGUUUGACAUAUAGGUUGUAGGGAACUGAAAGGGACCGACCCUUCGGGGAGCCUAUACAGGUGUUGCAUGGCUGUCGUCAGCUCGUGUCGUGAGAUGUUCGGUUAAGUCCGCUAACGAGCGCAACCCUCGUCGUAUGUUAUAUGUGUCAUACGAGACUGCCGGUAAAAGCCGGAGGAAGGUGAGGAUGAUGUCAAGUCAGCAUGACCUUUAUAUCCAGGGCUACACACACGCUACAAUGGUCUGUACAAUGGGUAGCCAAGCCGCGAGGCGGAGCCAAUCCUGAAAGCAGGCCUCAGUUCAGAUUGCAGUCUGCAACUCGACUGCAUGAAGCCGGAGUUGCUAGUAACCGCAGGUCAGCAAUACUGCGGUGAAUACGUUCCCGGGUCUU